Long non-coding RNA from Asparagus officinalis (garden asparagus), 399 nucleotides. RefSeq lists it as uncharacterized. The record is from RefSeq and is a predicted model, not a curated record. The transcript is spliced from 3 exons. NCBI's taxonomy places the organism in Eukaryota, Viridiplantae, Streptophyta, Magnoliopsida, Asparagales, Asparagaceae.
ACCCAAACUUACCCAGCUAACAAAUAGAAAUCUCCUCUCCCCUCUCUCUGUGAUUCCUCUCUCCAGAACCCUAAAAAUCUCGGCUCCCCUCUCUUUGCGAUUCAUCUCUCUGAGCUUCUACGGGAUUUUCCCAAUGGUGCCACCGCAGAUCGGCGGGGAGGGCCUUUGACUAAGUCGAUGACGAAGACAAUCAGCAUCUUUGGAAAACAAAUUCGGAGCCAAUCAAGAGGCUAAGUAGUAGUAACUCAGAAAAGUUGACUUCAGCAAGCCCACCGGUUCUCAAUCGAGAAGGGGCUGCUGAAAGUUGGGGAUGGAGGAGUAAACGUUCUUGCUACUCGCGUUGAUGAGGGUUGGUAAGUGAGUAAAAUAGUCAAGGCAUAGUAGUUGGAAGUGCAUUGU